This 474-nucleotide ribosomal RNA is filed under the name uncultured bacterium. RNAcentral describes it as "bacterial SSU rRNA". It matches the Rfam family "Bacterial small subunit ribosomal RNA", at positions 335 to 801 of the family's 1533-position model. The record is from RNAcentral.
ACUCCUACGGGAGGCAGCAGUAGGGAAUCUUCCACAAUGGGCGCAAGCCUGAUGGAGCAACACCGCGUGAGUGAAGAAGGGUUUCGGCUCGUAAAGCUCUGUUGUUAAAGAAGAACACGUACGAGAGUAACUGUUCAUACGUUGACGGUAUUUAACCAGAAAGUCACGGCUAACUACGUGCCAGCAGCCGCGGUAAUACGUAGGUGGCAAGCGUUAUCCGGAUUUAUUGGGGCGUAAAGAGAGUGCAGGCGGUUUUCCAAGUCUGAUGUGAAAGCCUUCGGCUUAACCGGAGAAGUGCAUCGGAAACUGGAUAACUUGAGUGCAGAAGAGGGUAGUGGAACUCCAUGUGUAGCGGUGGAAUGCGUAGAUAUAUGGAAGAACACCAGUGGCGAAGGCGGCUACCUGGUCUGCAACUGACGCUGAGACUCGAAAGCAUGGGUAGCGAACAGGAUUAGAUACCCUGGUAGGAUAGCG